UUCUUGUUGGCUCAGAUGGUAAAGAAUCUGCCUGCAAUGCAGGACACCCAGGUUCGAUCCCUAGAUUGGGAA
RNAcentral lists this transfer RNA (72 nucleotides) under Bos taurus (domestic cattle). It matches the Rfam family "tRNA". From Rfam's summary of the family: Transfer RNA (tRNA) molecules are approximately 80 nucleotides in length. Their secondary structure includes four short double-helical elements and three loops (D, anti-codon, and T loops). Further hydrogen bonds mediate the characteristic L-shaped molecular structure. tRNAs have two regions of fundamental functional importance: the anti-codon, which is responsible for specific mRNA codon recognition, and the 3' end, to which the tRNAs corresponding amino acid is attached (by aminoacyl-tRNA synthetases). tRNAs cope with the degeneracy of the genetic code in two manners: having more than one tRNA (with a specific anti-codon) for a particular amino acid; and 'wobble' base-pairing, i.e. permitting non-standard base-pairing at the 3rd anti-codon position. The record is from Rfam by way of RNAcentral. RNAcentral also lists the same sequence under 3 other names. Lineage: Eukaryota; Metazoa; Chordata; Mammalia; Artiodactyla; Bovidae.